Molecule: non-coding RNA, 151 nt
Filed under: Pseudonocardia sp.
Lineage: Bacteria; Bacillati; Actinomycetota; Actinomycetes; Pseudonocardiales; Pseudonocardiaceae
Also listed under: 1 other name
Description: SAM-I sequence
Rfam family: SAM riboswitch aptamer (S box leader)
About the family: The SAM riboswitch is found upstream of a number of genes which code for proteins involved in methionine or cysteine biosynthesis in Gram-positive bacteria.
Source: RNAcentral
GGCUCAUCCAGAGGGGCAGAGGGAACGGCCCGUUGAAGCCCCGGCAACCGGCGUCGCACGACGAUCCGCCCGAGCCGCGCACCCGCGUGGCGAGGACGUCGACGAACACGGUGCCAAUUCCGCCCGCCGCUUCCGGCGGGACAGAUGAGGA